AGUGAACGCUGGCGGCGUGCUUAACACAUGCAAGUCGAACGAGAACGGAUUUUAGCUUGCUAAAAUUGUCAGCUAAGUGGCGCACGGGUGAGUAAUAUAUAGGUAACGUGCCCUAGAGAAGAGGAUAACGUUUGGAAACGAACGCUAAUACUCUAUAUGCCUUUAAAACAUAAGUUUGCAAGGGAAAUAUUUAUAGCUCUAGGAUCGGCCUGUACGGUAUCAGCUAGUUGGUGAGGUAAUGGCUCACCAAGGCAAUGACACCUAACUGGUUUGAGAGGAUGAUCAGUCACACUGGAACUGAGACACGGUCCAG
RNAcentral lists this ribosomal RNA (313 nucleotides) under uncultured Arcobacter sp. RNAcentral's name for it is "bacterial SSU rRNA". It matches the Rfam family "Bacterial small subunit ribosomal RNA", at positions 29 to 334 of the family's 1533-position model. The record is from RNAcentral. Lineage: Bacteria; Pseudomonadati; Campylobacterota; Epsilonproteobacteria; Campylobacterales; Arcobacteraceae.